AGCGGAACCCAAUAUUACUGAGACGUCUGACAUGUUAUAGUGUAACACACAACAUUCUCUGUAUCUGGAAGUGUCCUGUGCUCGACAUGUGUAGUAAAAAGCAGACUCCCUUGAAACUGUUCUAGCUUCUCCUCCAUCAUGAGUGGCUCAAAGCCAGACAUCCUGUGGUCACCCCACCACCCAGACCGCUAUGUCAUUUGUGACUCUGAACUGGGACUGUAUCGUAUUGGACCAGUUGGCAACGCUGAAACGAAGGCUGGCACCCUCCCGCUCUCCGAAGAGACUGCUGCUACACUACUGGCCAUUAACUCUGACACUCCUUAUAUGAAAUGUGUGGCCUGGUACCCGAAGCAUGAGCCUGAGUGUUUACUUGCUGUUGGCCAAGCUAAUGGGAGAGUUGUGCUCACCAGUUUAGGCCAGAGCCACAACUCCACAUGUAAAGAACUGGUGGGGAAAGAGUUUGUACCCAAACAUGCCCGUCAGUGCAACACUUUAGCUUGGAACCCUGUGGACAGCAACUUGCUCGCUGCCGGGUUAGACAAGCACCGGGCAGACUUCUCUGUUCUCAUAUGGGACAUAAGCAGCAAGUUUGCUCCAGAGAGCAGUGUUGUAGCUGAGAAGAUUCGUCUCUCGUCUGUGGAUUUAGACUCAAGCACUGUGGUGACCAAGCCUCUGUAUGAGUUGGGGCAGAAUGAUGCUUGCUUGUCACUCUGCUGGCUGCUUCGUGACCCAAAGUUGCUGUUGGCUGGCAUGCACAGAAACCUUGCGAUAUUUGACCUGAGAAACACAAGCCAGAAAACAUUUGUCAACACCAAGGCCAUCCAGGGGGUGACAGUCGACCCACAUUUCCAUGACCGCGUGGCCUCUUUCUUUGAGGGGCAGGUGGCCAUUUGGGAUCUGCGCAAGUUUGAAAAGCCUGUGCUCACGCUCUGUGAGCAGCCUAAGCCUCUUACAAAGGUGGCAUGGUGUCCAACUCGGACUGGCCUGCUGGCAACACUGACACGUGACAGCAACAUCAUCCGACUGUACGACAUGCAACACACUCCCACGCCCAUUGGUGAUGAGACGGAGCCCACUAUUAUUGAGCGAAGUGUGCAACCCUGUGAAAGCCAGAUCGGCAGCUUUGCCUGGCACCCAUCUUCUCAAAACCGCAUGGUAGUGGUGUCGCCGGUCAAUCGUGUCAUGACAGAUUUCACUGUUUUUGAACGCAUCUCGCUGGCCUGGAGCUCCACCACCUCGCUCAUGUGGGCGUGUGGUAGACACUUAUAUGACUGUGUUGAGGAUUCUGUUGAUGGCGUGAAGAGCAUGACUGAGAAAGACAUCGCCACUAAGAUGAGGCAAAGGGCUCAGUCCAGGUAUGGACACGAUACCAUCCAAGUGUGGAGAAACCACCUGCUGGCAGGAGGGAAUGAUCCCCAGCUCAAGUCUUUAUGGUAUGAUCUGUUCUAUAUGAAGCAGUGUUCAGAGGAUAUCGAGCUGAAGCUGCAGGGUAACAAGCAGUCUUUGGUUUACUCUGGUAUCAAGAACAUUGUCAAGACCAGCUCAGGGACAACGGAGAGCCGACGGUGCUGGAGUGGCUCGGACCGCCAGACAGAUGUGCUUCGGUACCACAGUGAGGAGCGAUGUCUCGCUUUGCAGCUGUGUGGUUGGAUCUGUCGGGGUCCUGACUUGGAUGUAGAGACCUUCCUGCGGUCGCUCGAGCAGGAACAUGAGUGGGAACAUGCGGCCGCCAUUGCUCUCUUUAACCUUGACAUCCGUCGGUCAAUCCAGAUCCUCAACAAGGGAGCCACCUCUGAGAAGGGUGACCUAAACCUGAACGUGGUUGCCAUGGCUCUGUCAGGCUACACUGACGAGAAGUCGUCCCUGUGGAGAGAGAUGUGCAGCUCUCUGAGGCUGCAGCUGAAGAACCCCUACCUCUGCAUCAUGUUUGCCUUCCUCACCAGUGAGCCUGGAGUCUAUGAUGGCGUGCUGUAUGAGAGCAGCGUGGCUGUCCGAGACCGAGUAGCCUUUGCCUGUAUGUUCCUCAGUGAUGCACAGCUCCCACGAUACAUUGACAAACUGAGUAACGAACUAAAGGAGGCAGGAAAUCUGGAGGGCAUCCUCCUGACGGGGCUGACUAAAGACGGCGUAGAUCUUGUGGAGAGCUAUGUGGACCGAACUGGAGAUGUUCAGACUGCAAGUUUCUGUAUGCUGAAGGGCUCCUCUGGUGAAGUGUUAAAAGACCCUCGAGUCCAGUGCUGGAUCGAAAACUACCGCAACCUACUGGAUGCGUGGAGAUUCUGGCACAAACGGGCAGAAUUUGAUAUUCAUAGAGGGAAGCUGGACCCCAGCUCUAAACCAUUAGCUCAGCAAUGGUGUCUUCCUUGGCCUUCGCCCAUGAAGCCCUGUUUGGUUUAAUGUGUGGCGUAUGGUAAUUGUUGAAACGAUGACCCCUGACUGUUCCAGGUUGGCCUUCAGGUCUGUAAAUGUUUGACGUGGUGUUUUUUCCACCAUUCGCACCAACCUUCGAAGACUUCUGUCAUCAAUUUUUCUCUUCCCCCCACGUCUAGGGAGGUUCUUGACAGUUCCAUGCUUGGCAAACAUUACGCACUGUUGAAACAGGGAUACCAAGGUCUUUGGAGAUGGCUUUAUACCCUUUGGAGAUCUUGUGUUUGCUAAUUAUCACACUUAUAUUGUCCUCAGACAGCUCCUUUGUCUUCACCAUUGUGACAAAGGAACAGGGGAUAACAGAUGGCUUUUUAAAACACUGAAGUCAUCAUUCAUUGGCUAAUUUAUGUCACAUGGGCACAGACAAUUUCUCACAGGUGAUUCUCAUUUGUGAUUUACCACAGGUGAGUUACAAUGUGUUUCCAUACUGAUUUACAGAAAAGGGUCCCAAUACCAGUGACACAGAAAGCUUUUAGUUUUUCAAUUUUUUCCUCCCAUUGUUUAUUGUUUUAAAUUGUUGUUUAUCAUUUGCUCUUCUGCAUUAAACACGAGUUCUCUAUAGAAAAAAAAAUGUUUCACACGAUUAAUUUUUUUCAGAAGAUAUUCCACAUUAUGUACUUAAACUUCAUGGGUGCCAAUAAUGGUGAGCAGGACUGUAUAUGUGUAUAUAUGGGGUAUAUAUGUAUAUUUAUGUGUAUAUGUGAACUUAACUGAACCAGAACUUUGGCUUGGUGCCAUUGCCCGGAUGUAUGUGGGGAAAAACCAAAGAGCUGGUUGUGGACUUCCACUGGAGCAAAGCCACUCCCCCACCACCGGUGAACACCCAGGGAACGGACAUUGAGAUAGUGGACUCUUACAGGUACCUGGGUGUUCACCUAAACAAGAACUUGGACUGGACUGACAACACUCAGGCACUAUACAGGAAGGGUCAAAGCCGACUCCAUCUGCUGUCAUCAGUCAUGGACAACACCUCCCACCCCCUGCAUGACACUGACAGAGCCCUGGAAAGCUCCUUCAGCGCCAGGCUUCUUCACCCACGUUGCGAAAAGGAGCGGUACAGCAGGUAUUUGUGAGCUGCAACUUCUGUGGGAAGUCCAUUUCCUACAGCUGCUCAGCAGUACCUCACCAGGGUCGUGGCUUCAGCCAGUACGGUGUCAGUGGCUCACCCACCAAGUCAAAAGUCACUAGCUGCCCUGGCUGCAGGA
Molecule: RNA transcript, 3632 nt
Organism: Mugil cephalus (flathead mullet)
Lineage: Eukaryota; Metazoa; Chordata; Actinopteri; Mugiliformes; Mugilidae
Gene: mios
Gene name: missing oocyte, meiosis regulator, homolog (Drosophila)
Exons: 11
Source: RefSeq, a predicted model, not a curated record